This is a long non-coding RNA of Gossypium arboreum, 233 nucleotides long. RefSeq lists it as uncharacterized. Lineage: Eukaryota; Viridiplantae; Streptophyta; Magnoliopsida; Malvales; Malvaceae. The transcript is spliced from 3 exons. The record is from RefSeq and is a predicted model, not a curated record.
AUUAUGUUCUUGACCGAAACAAAAAGAAAAGAAAAAGAAAUAGAGAAAGCUAGGUUCGGCCAUCCUUUCAAGCUUGAUUCAAGAUCAAGAACCAAAGAAUUCGGAUUUGGAUCGGGGAAAAACGAAAGUCGUCGACUAGCUGCCCUGUUCUGUUUUACAUCGUCCGAGAGUCACGAAGACCUGCUCGGGUUGGAAUUCAUGGGAGAUCGUAUCAACUAUCCAGUUUUUGGUUU